GUGCCAGCAGCCUGCGGUAAUUCCAGCUCCAAUAGCGUAUAUUAAAGUUGUUGUGGUUAAAAAGCUCGUAGUUGAACCUUGGGCCUGGCUGGCCGGUCCGCCUCACCGCGUGCACUGGUCCGGCCGGGCCUUUCCCUCUGUGGAACCCCAUACCCUUCACUGGGCGUGGCGGGGAAACAGGACAUUUACUUUGAAAAAAUUAGAGUGCUCCAGGCAGGCCUAUGCUCGAAUACAUUAGCAUGGAAUAAUAAAAUAGGACGCGCGGUUCUAUUUUGUUGGUUUAUAGGACCGCCGUAAUGAUUAAUAGGGACAGUCGGGGGCAUCAGUAUUCAACUGUCAGAGGUGAAAUUCUUGGAUCAGUUGAAGACUAACUACUGCGAAAGCAUUUGCCAAGGAUGUUUUCAUUAAUCAGGAACGAAAGUUAGGGGAUCGAAGACGAUCAGAUACCGUCGUAGUCUUAACCAUAAACUAUGCCGACUAGGGAUCGGACGGUGUUAUUCAUGACCCGUUCGGCACCUUACGAGAAAUCAAAGUGCUUGGGCUCCAGGGGGAGUAUGGUCGCAAGGCUGAAACUUAAAGAAAUUGACGGAAGGGCACCACCAGGGGUGGAGCCUGCGGCUUAAUUUGACUCAACACGGGGAAACUCACCAGGUCCAGACACAAUAAGGAUUGACAGAUUGAGAGCUCUUUCUUGAUUUUGUGGGUGGUGAUGCAUGGCCGUUCUUAGUUGGUGGGGUGACUUGUCUGCUUAAUUGCGAUAACGAACGAGACCUUAACUGCUAAAUAGCCCGCAUUGCUCCGGCAGUGCGCUGCUCUAGAGGACUUUCGCUCAGCGAGAAGUUGAGCAUACAGCUGGAUGCCUAGAUGUUCUGGGCGGACGGCGCUAACCUGACGGGGUCA
RNAcentral lists this ribosomal RNA (900 nucleotides) under uncultured fungus. RNAcentral describes it as "SSU rRNA". It matches the Rfam family "Eukaryotic small subunit ribosomal RNA", at positions 564 to 1514 of the family's 1831-position model. Lineage: Eukaryota; Fungi. The record is from RNAcentral.